This 460-nucleotide ribosomal RNA is filed under the name uncultured bacterium. Its description in RNAcentral is "partial 16S ribosomal RNA". It matches the Rfam family "Bacterial small subunit ribosomal RNA", at positions 338 to 795 of the family's 1533-position model. The record is from RNAcentral.
CCUACGGGUGGCAGCAGUGAGGAAUAUUGGUCAAUGGGCGUAAGCCUGAACCAGCCAAGUCGCGUGAGGGAUGAAGGUUCUAUGGAUCGUAAACCUCUUUUAUAAGGGAAUAAAGUGUGGGACGUGUCCUAUUUUGUAAGUACCUUAUGAAUAAGGAUCGGCUAACUCCGUGCAAGCAGCCGCGGUAAGACGGAGGAGCCGAGAGUUAUCCGGAUUUAUGGGGUGUAAAGGGUGCGUAGGCGGCCUUUUAAGUCAGCGGGGAAAGUCUGUGGCUCAACCAUAGAAUUGCCGUUGAAACUGGGGGUCUUGAGUAUGUUUGAGGCAGGCGGAAUGCGUGGGGUAGCGGUGAAAUGCUUAGAUAUCACGCAGAACCCCGAUUGCGAAGGCAGCCUGCCAAGCCAUGACUGACGCUGAUGCACGAAAGCGUGGGGAUCAAACAGGAUUAGAUACCCUAGUAGUC